Dendroctonus ponderosae (mountain pine beetle) is the source of this 1039-nucleotide long non-coding RNA. RefSeq lists it as uncharacterized. The record is from RefSeq and is a predicted model, not a curated record. The transcript is spliced from 2 exons. Lineage: Eukaryota; Metazoa; Arthropoda; Insecta; Coleoptera; Curculionidae.
CAUUAACAAAACUCAAUUAUAGGUUAGGUUGCAGUUUUAACGGUUACUAUAGCGGCAAUGAUGUCAGAUGUUAAAAAAAUUCUUGUGAUGUCAAUCGAUAUUGUAGGGGCCCUAAAUUUAAUUGUUUUAUGAAGAAUGUGCCAAUAACUCUCGGGGUGCCAACAACUGUAGGUUUUCCUGAUAACCCUCAAACCAACUUUCAUUAUUAUUGGCGAAAAAACCCAGCUUAAACUUUAACAAAUUGUUUUGCGCCAUAGUGAGCCCUUCAGUUGAAAGUAACUAAACUUUCCCUUAAUGGACUCGAAGACAGUGACCUGAACAAGUUCAGUGUUAGCUUGGAGUUUUCAAAUUGAUGCGAUCGAGUAACGAGGAGUGACAAGAAAAUUACGGAUCGUAUUUCCAGGCUAAGCCAGUUAGAGGUUCGAUUGGAGAAAGUGAACAGUUCUGGUGGCUUUUAGGGCCCAACGUUAGUCACAGUUGCCUGAGAGAACGCUUAGAUGUCUAUCUAUAUAAAGCGAAAAAUUUCAGUCAUGCUUAUUCAAUUCGCUGCUCAUGCAUGCCAACUUAGAGAUAACCGGAUGGCAGCGUGGCUCUAAAUAAAGCAGGAAAAUGUAUCUCGCCAAGAUAAACUCCCAGACGUGCACUAGAUUUCUGCUUCAAGAAAAAAGCGGUCAUAUAUUUACAAAUUUAUUCAAAUUUCCUGUUUGAGCUUGAGCAGGACGAGUCGCAUUUUAUAGUGUUUUUAGUAGUUGCUGCAAAUUUACGAUGCGAUCAUAAAUUCCAGUGCGAAUUGUACGGGCGGGCCCCGAGCGUCUUGUCUAUUGCAACGUUUUAUUUUCUGGAAAAGUGAAAGAACUGAUGAAAAUGUCCUGUUUGAUGUUUUUUUUAGCGUCAGAAGGUUUACGCUAGGCAAAGAAUGUUGCAAUAAACUCUUGAAAAGGAACCAUUCAGGUCCAUUUUAACCACACAUGUAAUGGCGCAAAUUUUUUAAAAUAAACUGCACGGCGGAAGCAAAGCAUGCAAGAACAAGCCGAUUAAA